Long non-coding RNA from Zonotrichia albicollis (white-throated sparrow), 211 nucleotides. RefSeq lists it as uncharacterized. The record is from RefSeq and is a predicted model, not a curated record. Lineage: Eukaryota; Metazoa; Chordata; Aves; Passeriformes; Passerellidae.
CUUUGGCAACUAGAUGCAGUGCUAGGCUUCACUCUGCAAGGUGUUUAAAAAGAAAAACAGGUUUACUCAGGAUUUAUCAUGGAGUGGAAUAAGAGUGCCUCUCUCUCUAGAUGGGAACUUUGCUUCAUGGGACAUUACAACUGUAUGCCUUAAGGCAGAAAAGCGCAUAAAGGUACCUGGGAAAGUAAAUUGCCAGAAGCGAAGAGCACCC